ACAGCAGUCGCCACGGUAAUACGAAGGGUGCAAGCGUUAAUCGGAAUUACUGGGCGUAAAGCGUGCGUAGGCGGUGAGUUAAGUCUGCUGUGAAAUCCCCGGGCUCAACCUGGGGAUGGCAGUGGAUACUGGCUCGCUAGAGUGUGUCAGAGGAUGGUGGAAUUCCCGGUGUAGCGGUGAGAUGCGUAGAGAUCGGGAGGAACAUCAGUGGCGAAGGCGGCCAUCUGGGACAACACUGACGCUGAGGCACGAAAGCGUGGGGAGCAAACAGGAUUAGAUACCCCAGUAGUCCCUGUCUCUUAUAC
Molecule: ribosomal RNA, 305 nt
Filed under: uncultured bacterium
Lineage: Bacteria
Description: partial 16S ribosomal RNA
Rfam family: Bacterial small subunit ribosomal RNA
Source: RNAcentral